GUAGGUGGCAAGCGUUGUCCGGAAUUAUUGGGCGUAAAGCGCGCGCAGGCGGUUCUUUAAGUCUGAUGUGAAAGCCCACGGCUCAACCGUGGAGGGUCAUUGGAAACUGGAGAACUUGAGUACAGAAGAGGAAAGCGGAAUUCCACGUGUAGCGGUGAAAUGCGUAGAGAUGUGGAGGAACACCAGUGGCGAAGGCGGCUUUCUGGUCUGUAACUGACGCUGAGGCGCGAAAGCGUGGGGAGCAAACAGGGAUUAGAUACCCUGGUAGUCCACGCCGUAAACGAUGAGUGCUAAGUGUUAGGGGGUUUCCGCCCCCUUAGUGCUGCAGCUAACGCAUUAAGCACUCCGCCUGGGGGUACGCCGCAAGGCUG
RNAcentral lists this ribosomal RNA (371 nucleotides) under uncultured organism. RNAcentral describes it as "partial 16S ribosomal RNA". It matches the Rfam family "Bacterial small subunit ribosomal RNA", at positions 527 to 896 of the family's 1533-position model. The record is from RNAcentral.